RNAcentral lists this unclassified non-coding RNA (22 nucleotides) under Chlamydomonas reinhardtii. RNAcentral describes it as "small RNA Cre_0596". Lineage: Eukaryota; Viridiplantae; Chlorophyta; Chlorophyceae; Chlamydomonadales; Chlamydomonadaceae. The record is from RNAcentral.
AGGUCUCAUGGUGUAGUUGGUU